This 626-nucleotide ribosomal RNA is filed under the name Trichoderma pleuroticola. RNAcentral describes it as "eukaryotic LSU rRNA". The stretch from base 239 to 392 matches the Rfam family "5.8S ribosomal RNA". Lineage: Eukaryota; Fungi; Ascomycota; Sordariomycetes; Hypocreales; Hypocreaceae. The record is from RNAcentral.
CAAAAAGGUCUCGUUGGUGACCAGCGGAGGGACAUUACCGAGUUUACAACUCCCAAACCCAAUGUGAACGUUACCAAACUGUUGCCUCGGCGGGAUCUCUGCCCCGGGUGCGUCGCAGCCCCGGACCAAGGCGCCCGCCGGAGGACCAACCAAAACUCUUAUUGUAUACCCCCUCGCGGGUUUUUUUAUAAUCUGAGCCUUCUCGGCGCCCCUCGUGGGCGUUUCGAAAAUGAAUCAAAACUUUCAACAACGGAUCUCUUGGUUCUGGCAUCGAUGAAGAACGCAGCGAAAUGCGAUAAGUAAUGUGAAUUGCAGAAUUCAGUGAAUCAUCGAAUCUUUGAACGCACAUUGCGCCCGCCAGUAUUCUGGCGGGCAUGCCUGUCCGAGCGUCAUUUCAACCCUCGAACCCCUCCGGGGGGUCGGCGUUGGGGAUCGGCCCUCCCUCUGCGGGGGCCGUCUCCGAAAUACAGUGGCGGUCUCGCCGCAGCCUCUCCUGCGCAGUAGUUUGCACACUCGCACCGGGAGCGCGGCGCGUCCACAGCCGUUAAACACCCAACUUUCUGAAAUGUUGACCUCGGAUCAGGUAGGAAUACCCGCUGAACUUAAGCAUAUCAAUAAGCGGAGGA